Molecule: ribosomal RNA, 327 nt
Filed under: uncultured eukaryote
Lineage: Eukaryota
Description: partial 18S ribosomal RNA
Rfam family: Eukaryotic small subunit ribosomal RNA
Source: RNAcentral
CCCUUAGAUGUCCGGGGCCGCACGCGCGCUACAAUGGAUGAAUCAACGCGUCAUCCUGGCCCGAAAGGGUUGGGGAACCGCUGAACCCCAUCCGUGGUUGGGAUUGGGGUUUGUAAUUAUUCCCCAUGAACUAGGAAUUCCCAGUAAGCGCGAGUCAUAAGCUCGCGUUGAUUACGUCCCUGCCCUUUGUACACACCGCCCGUCGCUACUACCGAUUGGAUGGUUUAGUGAGAUCCUCGGAUUGGUCACGGCACGGUGGCAACACUGCGUCGGUGUGCCGAGAAGACGAUCAAACUUGAUCAUCUAGAGGAAGUAAAAGUCGUAACA